Folsomia candida is the source of this 731-nucleotide long non-coding RNA. RefSeq lists it as uncharacterized. The transcript has 4 exons. NCBI's taxonomy places the organism in Eukaryota, Metazoa, Arthropoda, Collembola, Entomobryomorpha, Isotomidae. The record is from RefSeq and is a predicted model, not a curated record.
UCUUCUUAUUAAAUCCUAACCAACCACUAUUGUAUUAUUCUCUUGCUGCUGCUGCUGGCUGGCUGUACUUAAUAAUAAAGAGUUGGUUGGUGGUGUUGGUUGCUUCACUACUUGAUUAUUUGGUGGUAGAGUGAUUCAGUUUGAUUUUUGUGGCUGUGUGUCUGACGAAGGAAGCCACCUCUGUUUGCACUCUCACAGUUACACAGUCUCCUCUCGGCCCCAUAAGAAUAUUAUAUUCAACUCCAACCAACUCUACUGCUGCUCAUGAUGAUGAUAACACACAAUAGCAAACCUACCAACUAACUCGGCUCGGUGUACUCCUCCGCUCGUGAACCAAUCUCACAUUUACCAAAUCCACUCUGCGAUGCUCGAUGCUCUUUGAAAAUAUCGUGCCAGGAGGGAUAGAGGUUGCGCAUCAAGUUUGUGGCUACGACACAUAAAUAUAAUCGAGCCCUUUUACUUACCUGCUGAAGAAGAUCUUGGUAAACCUCAAUGUUGCACACCCACCGCGGACCAGGACGAAAUGGGCAGGGUAGUGAUAUGUUUAUGUGUUGAAAUUGGCGUUUGAACUUGGCUAGAGAUUUCACAUUGCCCAGAUUGACUUAACUUACCCCAAACCUGGGUUGAAUUAUUUUAUUAUUUGAUACCAGUAUUUUUAUUUUGGCGUUUAAAUUAUUCAAUUUCGUAUGAUUUUUACGCCAAAAUUAUUAAACGGAGUUUAACAAUAUCGU